Molecule: ribosomal RNA, 484 nt
Filed under: uncultured bacterium
Lineage: Bacteria
Description: partial 16S ribosomal RNA
Rfam family: Bacterial small subunit ribosomal RNA
Source: RNAcentral
GAUGAACGCUGGCGGCGUGCUUAACACAUGCAAGUCGAACGGUGAAGCAGGAGCUUGCUCUUGUGGAUCAGUGGCGAACGGGUGAGUAACACGUGAGCAACCUGCCCCUGACUCUGGGAUAAGCGCUGGAAACGGCGUCUAAUACUGGAUAUGUGAUGUGACCGCAUGGUCUGCCUCUGGAAAGAAUUUCGGUUGGGGAUGGGCUCGCGGCCUAUCAGCUUGUUGGUGAGGUAAUGGCGCACCAAGGCGUCGACGGGUAGCCGGCCUGAGAGGGUGACCGGCCACACUGGGACUGAGACACGGCCCAGACUCCUACGGGAGGCAGCAGUGGGGAAUAUUGCACAAUGGGCGGAAGCCUGAUGCAGCAACGCCGCGUGAGGGAUGACGGCCUUCGGGUUGUAAACCUCUUUUAGCAGGGAAGAAGCGAAAGUGACGGUACCUGCAGAAAAAGCACCGGCUAACUACGUGCCAGCCGCCGCAGUAA